RNAcentral lists this long non-coding RNA (300 nucleotides) under Mus spicilegus (steppe mouse). RNAcentral's name for it is "lncRNA (ENSMSIG00000006199.1)". The record is from RNAcentral. Lineage: Eukaryota; Metazoa; Chordata; Mammalia; Rodentia; Muridae.
CACCCACAGGUGAGUUCCCCUCAGAGGCACGCAGCUUGACUGUCAGAGGAUUUGAAGGCAGCUCAAGAUAGUGGAAGGUUUAGUUGGCAUCAUGGAGACAGCCCCAACCCCAACCACUGAAUCCACAGUCAUGAAGUUUCAGGAACCCAGUGGCUAUAUGUCUAUGUGUCUCUGAGACAGCACCAUCUCUGAGAAAAGAACACCUGGGAUUCAAAGUCAACUCUAUGAUGUGUGUGACCUUGCUGAAGUCCAAGCACACCACGCAGGACCCUGCAAUUCCAGUGAUGGCUGAGAAUUCAG